ACAAAACCAAUAUAUAUACAUAUACACAAUAAGCAUGAGUCGGGCAGUUCUGGUUUGGUUCUUCUUGGUGGUAACCCUAAUCUUGAAUUUGAGAACCGUAGGAGGAGUUGUGGGUGAAACUUAUCAUGUUCACAUCAUGAAUGGUCUGCAAACUAACUCGCACGCACUAAUCGUACGGUGCAAGUCGAAAAACGAUGAUCUGGGCAGGCACGUUUUGUGGAAAGAUGGCGAUUUUACUUUCCAUUUGAAGGUGAAUUUUUGGCAGACAACUCUCUUCUUUUGCGGCUGGAACUGGGGAAACAAGCGAGCCAUGUUUGAUGUUUUUAAAGCUGAUGAUGAAGGACAUGAAUGUGCCCAAACAGGAAACUGUUACUGGCAAGCUAGAGAAGAUGGUUUUUACUUCACUGCUAAUACAACUAUGUCAUGGGUCCAUAAGUAUAACUGGAAUAAUUAAUUUAUAUAUAUCCAUUAUCUGAUCUAAUCUAUUUUCAAUGAAAAAUAGUGGGUUUGAAUAAAAUUCUGAAAUUUUUGAAGAAAUAUUAUAUUUAUAUCAAAACUGGCAUACAUAUAUAUAUUAUCUAAUUAAUGAAAUAUGUAAAUUUUAAAUAAAAAAACAACCUCCAAAACUUUGUUCAUGCUCCAAUAUCCUACUCAUACUUAAUAUUCCUAUUUUCUUUCUGAAGAAAAAGGCAUAGAGCUCAAAAAACAAUUUGUAGAAAUCAAUUCAAAUGAUAAGCAUAAAAUAGAAAGAGGAGAGAGAGAUCAAACCAGUUAAUAGCAGAAAAUCCUCACUUUUGUCUUUAAGGAAACAUUAGAAGUCAUUUACAAACUUCUUCCCUGUUGAAUUCCCUACUAAAAAACGAGAACUCAACCAAAAUCCAACAUAUCCAGCAAGAAAUGUNNNN
This 905-nucleotide long non-coding RNA is filed under the name Carica papaya (papaya). Its description in RNAcentral is "long non-coding RNA (CPAP_LNC005048)". The record is from RNAcentral. Lineage: Eukaryota; Viridiplantae; Streptophyta; Magnoliopsida; Brassicales; Caricaceae.